This 83-nucleotide small RNA is filed under the name Marmota monax (woodchuck). Lineage: Eukaryota; Metazoa; Chordata; Mammalia; Rodentia; Sciuridae. The record is from RNAcentral.
GCUGGGCAUGGUGGUGCAUGCCCAUAAUCUCAGUGGCUUGGGAGGCUGAGGCAGGAGGGUCAUGAGUUCAAAGCCAGCCUCUG